Molecule: non-coding RNA, 134 nt
Organism: Callorhinus ursinus (northern fur seal)
Lineage: Eukaryota; Metazoa; Chordata; Mammalia; Carnivora; Otariidae
Source: RefSeq, a predicted model, not a curated record
AGCUUUGCGCAGUGGCAGUAUCGUAGCCAGUGAGGUUUAUCCGAGGCGCGAUUAUUGCUAAUUGAAAACUUUUGUCCAGCUGAUAAAAUCGCACUUCUUCAAAACCCAUGUCAGCCAUUCUGUCUUCCAUGAGG